This 927-nucleotide ribosomal RNA is filed under the name uncultured bacterium. RNAcentral describes it as "bacterial SSU rRNA". It matches the Rfam family "Bacterial small subunit ribosomal RNA", at positions 28 to 929 of the family's 1533-position model. The record is from RNAcentral.
GACGAACGCUGGCGGCGCGCCUAAUACAUGCAAGUCGAACGCUGCUUAAGAAGAAACUUCGGUUUUUUCUUAAGCGGAGUGGCGGACGGGUGAGUAACACGUGGGGAACCUAUCCAUCAGCGGGGGAUAACACUUGGAAACAGGUGCUAAUACCGCAUACGGCUUUUUUUCACCUGAAAGAAAGCUCAAAGGCGCUUUACAGCGUCACUGAUGGCUGGCCCCGCGGUGCAUUAGCCAGUUGGUGAGGUAACGGCCCACCAAAGCAACGAUGCAUAGCCGACCUGAGAGGGUGAUCGGCCACACUGGGACUGAGACACGGCCCAGACUCCUACGGGAGGCAGCAGUAGGGAAUCUUCGGCAAUGGACGCAAGUCUGACCGAGCAACGCCGCGUGAGUGAAGAAGGUUUUCGGAUCGUAAAGCUCUGUUGUCAGCAAAGAACAGGAGAAAGAGGCAAUGCUUUUUCUAUGACGGUAGCUGACCAGAAAGCCACGGCUAACUACGUGCCAGCAGCCGCGGUAAUACGUAGGUGGCAAGCGUUGUCCGGAUUUAUUGGGCGUAAAGCGAGCGCAGGCGGUGAUUUAAGUCUGAUGUGAAAGCCCCCAGCUCAACUGGGGAGGGUCAUUGGAAACUGGAUCACUUGAGUGCAGAAGAGGAGAGUGGAAUUCCAUGUGUAGCGGUGAAAUGCGUAGAUAUAUGGAGGAACACCAGUGGCGAAGGCGGCUCUCUGGUCUGUAACUGACGCUGAGACUCGAAAGCGUGGGUAGCAAACAGGAUUAGAUACCCUGGUAGUCCACGCCGUAAACGAUGAGUGCUAAGUGUUGGAGGGUUUCCGCCCUUCAGUGCUGCAGUUAACGCAUUAAGCACUCCGCCUGGGGAGUACGACCGCAAGGUUGAAACUCAAAGGAAUUGACGGGGGCCCGCACAAG